CACGUAGGGGGCAAGCGUUGUCCGGAUUUAUUGGGCGUAAAGAGCUCGUAGGUGGUUCGGUAAGUCAGGUGUGAAACCUCCAGGCUCAACCUGGAGACGCCACUUGAUACUGCUGUGACUGGAGUCCGGUAGGGGAGCGUGGAAUUCCUGGUGUAGCGGUGAAAUGCGUAGAGAUCGGGAGGAACACCCGUGGCGAAGGCGGCCAUCUGGACCAGUACUGACGCUGAGGCACGAAAGCGUGGGGAGCAAACAGG
Molecule: ribosomal RNA, 254 nt
Filed under: uncultured bacterium
Lineage: Bacteria
Description: partial 16S ribosomal RNA
Rfam family: Bacterial small subunit ribosomal RNA
Source: RNAcentral